This 327-nucleotide ribosomal RNA is filed under the name uncultured eukaryote. RNAcentral describes it as "partial 18S ribosomal RNA". It matches the Rfam family "Eukaryotic small subunit ribosomal RNA", at positions 1470 to 1796 of the family's 1831-position model. The record is from RNAcentral.
CCCUUAGAUGUUCUGGGCCACACGCGCGUUACACUGAUGAAGCCAGCGAGUAUAUCGCCUUCACCGGAAGGUGCGGGUAAUCUUGUGAAACUUCAUCGUGCUGGGGAUAGACCAUUGCAAUUAUUGGUCUUGAACGAGGAAUUCCUAGUAAGCAUGAGUCAUCAACUCGUGCUAAUUACGUCCCUGCCCUUUGUACACACCGCCCGUCGCUACUACCGAUUGAAUGGUUUAGUGAGAUCUCGGGAUUGGAGACGUUGCGCCGCAAGGCACAUCGUCCUCGAGAACUUGAUCAAACUUGAUCAUUUAGAGGAAGUAAAAGUCGUAACA